AUCCCAUGUUGAGGACACUUACGAAGUAACUCCUUGAAUCACUCCCAAGCCUCAUACAAAAACUCUCCAAUUGUUGGAAAGUUGUGAUCUUGUUCCUCAACUU
Gossypium arboreum is the source of this 103-nucleotide non-coding RNA. The record is from Rfam. NCBI's taxonomy places the organism in Eukaryota, Viridiplantae, Streptophyta, Magnoliopsida, Malvales, Malvaceae.